GCAAAACGCGAAGAACCUUACCCACCUUUGACAUGUACGGAAUCCUUUAGAGAUAGAGGAGUGCUCGAAAGAGAGCCGUAACACAGGUGCUGCAUGGCUGUCGUCAGCUCGUGUCGUGAGAUGUUGGGUUAAGUCCCGCAACGAGCGCAACCCUUGCCAUUAGUUGCUACAUUUAGUUGAGCACUCUAAUGGGACUGCCGGUGACAAACCGGAGGAAGGUGGGGGUGACGUCAAGUCCUCAUGGCCCUUAUAGGUGGGGCUACACACGUCAUACAAUGGCUGGUACAAAGGGUUGCCAACCCGCGAGGGGGAGCUAAUCCCAUAAAGCCAGUCGUAGUCCGGAUCGCAGUCUGCAACUCGACUGCGUGAAGUCGGAAUCGCUAGUAAUCGUGGAUCAGAAUGUCACGGUGAAUACGUUCCCGGGUCUUGUACACACCG
Molecule: ribosomal RNA, 438 nt
Filed under: uncultured bacterium
Lineage: Bacteria
Description: bacterial SSU rRNA
Rfam family: Bacterial small subunit ribosomal RNA
Source: RNAcentral